Molecule: ribosomal RNA, 426 nt
Filed under: uncultured bacterium
Lineage: Bacteria
Description: bacterial SSU rRNA
Rfam family: Bacterial small subunit ribosomal RNA
Source: RNAcentral
UGGGGAAUUGUUCGCAAUGGGCGCAAGCCUGACGACGCAACGCCGCGUGGAGGAUGAAGAUCUUCGGGUCGUAAACUCCUGUCGAGCGGGACGAAUGCCUUGCCGGUGAAUAUCCGGCGAGGGUGACGGUACCGCUAAAGGAAGCCCCGGCUAACUCCGUGCCAGCAGCCGCGGUAAUACGGGGGGGGCAAGCGUUGUUCGGAAUUACUGGGCGUAAAGGGCGCGUAGGUGGCUGUGUAAGUCGGGGGUGAAAUGCUGCGGCUCAACCGCAGCGCUGCCUCCAAGACUGCACGGCUUGAGCACGGUAGAGGCCGAUGGAAUUCCCGGUGUAGCGGUGGAAUGCGUAGAGAUCGGGAAGAACACCGAUGGCGAAGGCAGUCGGCUGGGCCGUUGCUGACACUGAGGCGCGACAGCGUGGGGAGCAAA